Molecule: long non-coding RNA, 442 nt
Filed under: Ananas comosus (pineapple)
Lineage: Eukaryota; Viridiplantae; Streptophyta; Magnoliopsida; Poales; Bromeliaceae
Description: long non-coding RNA (ACOM_LNC034202)
Source: RNAcentral
GCUGCUCCACAUUUGUAGCUUAGUUUAUCAACUUAAUGAAUAAAGCGAAUAGCAUGCUACUUUUCUCUCAAAAAUCAGUUCCUCCACAAUGACAAUGACGUUUUAUUUUUUAAUAUAUAUAUUUAUUUUUUAAUACUCCGAAUCUCUCUCAUCUUUAUCUAUACAUUAUUAUUAAGCUAAGAUUAGAUAUAUUAAAUGCAUUAUCAAAUCGCCACUACUAAGACUGUUAGAUAAAAUAGAGUUAGGAAAAAAAUAUAAAGGGUUAUAUUUCUGCAUUCUCGACCACAAAAAAUAUAUCAUAACCGACUUAUCAAAAUGUGCGGAACGCAAUAUUACGUACGAAAACAAACAGAAUAUUUUUUCAUCAUACUUUUUCACUGCACGUAACACAAUCUUUCCUCAAUUCCAAACGAAGCUACCACUCGGCCGGCAGCUCAUUCCA